UGUAGAAACAACUAUGUUCUCAGGUAGAACACGUAUAAACACAAAUUUAAGAUUUAGCAUUUAUGCCAAACAGAAAAAUGCAUAUCCGAACCAAAUCAUCACUGUUCAACAAAUUUUUGACAGUUUAUCAUUUUCUGGCUUGGUCAUUAAAUUCUUAUAUGCCUUGAAAAUUAUAACCUUUCUGUGAUCAGCGGCAACACAAAACAUUAUCAAAUAAUUGAGGGAUCACAAAACUGAAAUUUUCCAAAUUA
This is a non-coding RNA of Paramuricea clavata, 251 nucleotides long. The record is from the annotation of a GenBank genome assembly. NCBI's taxonomy places the organism in Eukaryota, Metazoa, Cnidaria, Anthozoa, Malacalcyonacea, Plexauridae.